Non-coding RNA from Macaca mulatta (Rhesus monkey), 1250 nucleotides. NCBI's taxonomy places the organism in Eukaryota, Metazoa, Chordata, Mammalia, Primates, Cercopithecidae. The record is from RefSeq and is a predicted model, not a curated record.
GAACAUAAUGGUAGUGAUUUCAGGGGUGAGGCUGAGAUCAUAGAAGUUACCGUGGGAAUCAUCAGCGUAAACAUGGCACUUACUGUCAUAUAAAUGAUACCACACCAAUAAUGAGUAGGGAGACAGGAGAAAAGCUUCAAGGCUUGAACCUCAAUGCUUGAAUAUUACAAAGUCUCAGAAAAAGGAGGGAUAGCCACUAGAAAGAGUGAGACAAACCAAAAAGAAGAAAAAAUGAAGACGAUUUGAUGUUUAGGAAGGCAAGAGAAUGCUCCCAGAACGAGGGAGGAAACAUCUGGGUAAAGAUUGCUGAGAAGACAAGAAAGAGGAGGACCAACGUUUGAUCAUUUGAGUUGAUAUUUUGAAGAUUGUGGAUAAGAGCAGCUUUGGUGGAGUGGUGGAAUUCACGGUAGCAUCAAAAGUCUUGAGAUAGAUACUGCUGAUCUCAUGUUUGCUUUGGAUACUUUCAAAGCUGCAAAGUGUGACACAGCCUUGGAGAGGAAGAGAAAAAGUAUAAGAAAAGUGACAUGACUUAUGCUGGUUGUACAGGGAUAUCCAGUUACUAGGAAAAACCCGGAUGUUCUGACUCUGUCACACGCACUAAAUUUUAUCAAAUGACGCAAAAUAACAUGACGCAGAAGAGAGGCUAGACGGGUCGAUGGAUUGAAUGGGAAUUAAGCUAUGGUGGUUUACAACUGAUAUGAAGGUUUUAGAAAACACAAAUCGAAUAACAUCCAUCCUGGAAAAAAGGAAAGUAAAAAUUUUUCAUAAAAAAUCUGUAGACUAGUGUUUGAGAAAUUCUUGGGCAGAAUACUCUGGGAGAUAAAAAGAACUUGUGAAAGUUGUCAGAAUCAAAAUGGGGCCUCUUGUGUUAAAGACUGUGCCAAGUGGAGUCAAGGAUGGCCGUGAACAGAGGUUUCUUAUGCACAAAUACCUGAUAGCAACAACUAUCACAAAAGACUCUGCAAAAACCACAAGCUUGUGAAAGAAAGGCCCACUACAACCUUACUACACACAAAAAAAACUGUGAGGACAUCUGCACAGCAACUUCCUGUCUAACCUCGGACCGGCACCACCCUUGAUAUGGAUCCUUAUAGCUAACAAUAAUUAUCACAAAACAAUCUUAUAAUCUUCUUUAUUUUUCCUUUAAAAAUCUUUGUCUUCCUUUACCUACCUGAGUAUGCAUGUAGUUUACUAUGGUAUGGAUAUUGCCAUUACAAUGCCCAUUUGUGAAUAAAUAUCUUUUUCUUUUA